RNAcentral lists this ribosomal RNA (292 nucleotides) under uncultured bacterium. RNAcentral's name for it is "partial 16S ribosomal RNA". The record is from RNAcentral.
GGACUACUCGGGUAUCUAAUCCUGUUUGCUCCCCACGCUUUCGUGCCUCAGUGUCAGUGUUGGUCCAGGUAGUCGCCUUCGCCACAGAUGUUCCUUCCGAUCUCUACGCAUUUCACUGCUACACCGGAAAUUCCACUACCCUCUACCACACUCUAGUCGCCCAGUUUCCAUCGCAAUUCCCAGGUUGAGCCCAGGGCUUUCACGACAGACUUAAGCAACCACCUACGCACGCUUUACGCCCAGUAAUUCCGAGUAACGCUUGCACCCUUCGUAUUACCGCGGCUGCUGGCAC